AGAAUUUCGAGUUUUUCUUUCCCACUCGAUUAGCCCAGUCAGGUCCAGAUGACAACUUCCGCUUUGCCUUCUGUGGAGAGUUGUUCCGAGGUGUCUUUCCCCUUGAGUGUAGAACCAAGGUUUCAGGAAUGGCAAAUUGGAUGCAUCUUGAAUGCACUUCUUCCAGUGACAGCGGCUGCUUGAAAUCCUGAGAUGAGAAGGAUUCUGAGGACACUUGGCUCAGUAGAGGGUUACACAGCUGAAAAUGAUACAGACCGUGCACUCAAGAAACAAUCGACUACUGAAAAAACAGAUAAAUAAACAGGCAGCUAGACUAAAAUAUAAAUGUUAUGAUAGAAGUAGGUGAUUCCUAACUCAUUAAUCUUUUGCCUUUUGUGUCUCUCGGGAUUUGGGAACCUUGACAUCAAUAAAAUCCCUAUAUCUGGUGGACUUCCUUUUUA
Long non-coding RNA from Leopardus geoffroyi (Geoffroy's cat), 440 nucleotides. RefSeq lists it as uncharacterized. The record is from RefSeq and is a predicted model, not a curated record. The transcript is spliced from 3 exons. Lineage: Eukaryota; Metazoa; Chordata; Mammalia; Carnivora; Felidae.